GUUUUCUCAAAUCCCACAUUUAAAGCGAAAGUCACGCGUUUUCUCUUCGCAAAUCCCCCAAUUAACACAAAAAACCACGAGUUUUCUCUUCAGAAAUCCCCCAUUUAAGCAGAAAAUCACACGUUUUCCCUUCGCAAAACCCCCAUUUAAGUGGAAAUCUCGCGUUUUCUCUUUGAGAAUCGUCAAUUUAAGUGAAAAUCAAGCGUUUUCUCUUUGAGAAUCCCCCAUUUAUGCGAAAAUCACGAAUUUUCUCAAAUCCCCCAUUUAUGUGGAAAACACGUGUUUUCUCUUCGAAAAUCCCCCAUUUAACCCGAUAAUCGCACAUUUUCAAUUUGCAAGUCCCCCAUUUAAGCGAAAAACACGCGUUUUCUCUUCGCAAAUCCCCCAUUUAACCAGAAAAUCACGCGUUUUCUUUUCGGAAAUCCCCCAUUUAAGCGAAAAUCACGUGUUUUCUCUCCGAGAAUCCAACACUUAAGCGAAAAUCACGCGUUUUCUCAAAUCCCACAUUUAAGCGAAAGUCACGCGUUUUCUCUUCGCAAAUCCCCCAUUUAACCAGAAAACCAAGCAUUUUCUCUUCGCAAAUCCCCCAUUUUACCAGAAAAACACGCGUUUUCUCUUCGAAAAUCCCCCAUUUAACCCGAAAAUCACGCGUUUUCCCUUCGCAAAUCCCCCAAUUAACACAAAAAACCACGAGUUUUCUCUUCAGAAAUCCCACAUUUAAGCGAAAAUCACACGUUUUCCCUUCGCAAAACCCCCAUUUAAGUGAAAAUCUCGCGUUUUCUCUUUGAGAAUCGUCAAUUUAAGUGAAAAUCAAGCGUUUUCUCUUUGAGAAUCCCCCAUUUAAGUGAAGAUCACGAAUUUUCUCUUCUCAAAUACCCCAUUUAAGCGAAAAUCACGCGUUUUCUCUUCGGAAAUCCCCCAUUUAACUUGAAAAUCACGCGUUUUCUCUUCGGAAAUCCCCCAUUUAAGCGAAAAUCACGCGUUUUCUCUUCGAGAAUCCAACAUUUAAGCGAAAAUCAUGUGUUUUCUCAAAUCCCCCAUUUAAGCGAAAAUCACGCGUUUUCUCUUCGCAAAUCCCCCAUUAACACAAAAAACCAUGAGUUUUCUCUUCAGAAAUCCCCCAUUUAAGCGAAAAUCACACGUUUUCCCUUCGCAAAACCCCCAUUUAAGUGAAAAUCUCGCGUUUUCUCUUUGAGAAUCGUCAAUUUAAGUGAAAAUCAAGCGUUUUCUCUUUGAGAAUCCCCCAUUUAAUGCGAAA
This 1258-nucleotide long non-coding RNA is filed under the name Gallus gallus (chicken). RNAcentral's name for it is "lncRNA (ENSGALG00010000538.1)". Lineage: Eukaryota; Metazoa; Chordata; Aves; Galliformes; Phasianidae. The record is from RNAcentral.